Molecule: ribosomal RNA, 444 nt
Filed under: Eoacmaea conoidalis
Lineage: Eukaryota; Metazoa; Mollusca; Gastropoda; Eoacmaeidae
Description: Patelloida conoidalis partial 16S ribosomal RNA
Rfam family: Bacterial large subunit ribosomal RNA
Source: RNAcentral
UGCUCGGUGGAAAUAUUUUUUAACAGCUAUGGUACUUUAACCAUACAAAGGUAGCAUAAUCAAUUGCCUCUUAAUUGGGGGCUAGAAUGAAUGGUAUGACGAGAUUACUACUGUCUCUUUUGAUUUCUAUUGAAAUUGUUUUUGGGGUGAAAAAACCCUAAUUUUAAUACAUGACAAAAAGACCCUAUAAAGCUUUUUUGAUUAUUUAGGAAAGUUUCUUUAUAUAGAAUUAAGUUGGGGCGACUCUAGAAUGGGAAAGGCUUCUAGUGUAAUAAGUUAAUAACAAAUUUGUGAUCGCGAUAAAUUUUUCGUAUUAAAGGUAAAGUUACUUUAGGGAUAACAGGGCACUUCUUUUAGUGAGUACAUAUUUAUUAAAGAGUUUGCUACCUCGAUGUUGGAUUAAGGUAUCCUAAAGGUGUAUCCGCUUUUAAGGGUUGGUUUGUU